Molecule: unclassified non-coding RNA, 317 nt
Filed under: uncultured fungus
Lineage: Eukaryota; Fungi
Description: partial contains small subunit ribosomal RNA, internal transcribed spacer 1, and 5.8S ribosomal RNA
Rfam family: Eukaryotic small subunit ribosomal RNA (bases 1-73)
Source: RNAcentral
GCAAACUUGGUCAUUUAGAGGAAGUAAAAGUCGUAACAAGGUUUCCGUAGGUGAACCUGCGGAAGGAUCAUUAAAAUAUUACUGGUUAGCUUUGGAGAUUCCUCUAAAGUUAAUUAUGUAUUUCAAUCACUUGUUUACUUAUACCUGUUGCUUCCGUGAAAAUUAGGGUGCCUGCGCUAUUCGUAGUUGUAGGUUACCUUUCACGGGUGUUUUAUAAAAAAAUUUGUUUUGAAUGACUUGUCUGAUUAUUAGUUUUAAAUAAAGUUAAAACUUUCAACAACGGAUCUCUAGGUUCUCGCAUCGAUGAAGAACGCAGC